AUGUCAACCAUUCAGGGGCGAGAUAUCCAGAUCACCUGUAACACUGGACCCUGGAGGGGCACUGGGGGCAGCAACGCGAAGGCUAUAAUCUGUGGGGUCGAGAUCACUAUGGAACAGGAUCAUGGGGGCCGGCGAGCUGAGCUUGGUCAGCGGCAGCGGCAGCUGCGUCGAAGCAGCUUGAGGAGUGGAGGUCAACAAUGGCGGCAACUCUUGGGUGGUGGGCAGAAGGCCUCGUGCAUUAUUUUUGUGGUUGGGAUGUUGGCACUUGGCACGUCAUAUUCAACCAAUCUAUCUCGAUUACAAGUUGUCAUGUAA
This 315-nucleotide ribosomal RNA is filed under the name Triticum aestivum (bread wheat). RNAcentral's name for it is "partial small subunit ribosomal RNA". The record is from RNAcentral. Lineage: Eukaryota; Viridiplantae; Streptophyta; Magnoliopsida; Poales; Poaceae.